Molecule: ribosomal RNA, 402 nt
Filed under: uncultured bacterium
Lineage: Bacteria
Description: bacterial SSU rRNA
Rfam family: Bacterial small subunit ribosomal RNA
Source: RNAcentral
UGGGGAAUAUUGCACAAUGGGCGAAAGCCUGAUGCAGCAACGCCGCGUGAGUGAUGAAGGCCUUCGGGUUGUAAAGCUCUGUCUUCUGGGACGAUAAUGACGGUACCAGAGGAGGAAGCCACGGCUAACUACGUGCCAGCAGCCGCGGUAAUACGUAGGUGGCAAGCGUUGUCCGGAUUUACUGGGCGUAAAGGAUGCGUAGGCGGAUACUUAAGUCAGAUGUGAAAAUCCCGGGCUUAACUUGGGAACUGCAUUUGAAACUGGGUAUCUAGAGUGCGGGAGAGGAGAGUGCAAUUCCUAGUGUAGCGGUGAAAUGCGUAGAGAUUAGGAAGAACACCAGUGGCGAAGGCGACUUUCUGGACCGUAACUGACGCUGAGGCAUGAAAGCGUGGGGAGCAAACA